AAAUUGAAGAGUUUGAUCAUGGCUCAGAUUGAACGCUGGCGGCAGGCCUAACACAUGCAAGUCGAACGGUAACAGGAAGCAGCUUGCUGCUUUGCUGACGAGUGGCGGACGGGUGAGUAAUGUCUGGGAAACUGCCUGAUGGAGGGGGAUAACUACUGGAAACGGUAGCUAAUACCGCAUAACGUCGCAAGACCAAAGAGG
RNAcentral lists this ribosomal RNA (201 nucleotides) under Escherichia coli. RNAcentral's name for it is "partial 16S ribosomal RNA". It matches the Rfam family "Bacterial small subunit ribosomal RNA", at positions 1 to 209 of the family's 1533-position model. The record is from RNAcentral. Lineage: Bacteria; Pseudomonadati; Pseudomonadota; Gammaproteobacteria; Enterobacterales; Enterobacteriaceae. RNAcentral also lists the same sequence under 1 other name.